RNAcentral lists this long non-coding RNA (702 nucleotides) under Elaeis guineensis (African oil palm). RNAcentral describes it as "long non-coding RNA (EGUI_LNC029118)". The record is from RNAcentral. Lineage: Eukaryota; Viridiplantae; Streptophyta; Magnoliopsida; Arecales; Arecaceae.
AUGGGCUGCGUACGAGGGGUGGCACAAGAUGACAAAAGAGAUGAAGGGUGGCCGGUGUGAGAUUGAUGUUUGCUGUUCUGGUUCCUCUUUUUUUUUCUUUCUUUGUUUUUUUUUCAAAAAAUCAUGAUGAGCAAAUCGUCCCUUAUUUUCUUCAUCUUUGUUCUCUGCCUUAUCUGUGAAAACGACGGCAACAUUCUUCGCUUUCUCAAACAAAGAUACAAGACAGAAUACCUUGCCAUCAGUACUAUAGAAGAUAAAUUAAAAGAUUCCCUACUUCCUAUCCAAAAAGGACCGGUGACUUGAUAUUAUGAAAUUAUUGAAAAAUCAUCGAAGAUCAGAUUUUAAAAAUAAGGAAACGAAAGAGAACUCAAGCGUAAUAACAGUGUUUGUGACAUUAGGAGAUCAGUCGCCAUCUUAAUUUUCCAACUGUUAGAAAAUUAGCAGCAAACAUGAUGCCACAGCCCGUUUCUCAUUUGAUUUAAGCGAAAAGAAUAAAAAGACAACUUCAUACCUGCAGCCUUAUCGAAGAUUUCUCAACCAUGACGGAAGCGGCCACUGAAGAUGAGGGGUCAUGUCUGAUGGCAGUAUCUUGGCGGCCUCAUCGACUGAGAGGUGAUCAGUCCAUGGGCGAUGGCCAUCGGAAACAUGAAAACCAUUCAACGAUUGGUACUCCACACUGCCUUUCAGAGUGGUGCACUUCCA